UACGGAGGGGGCUAGCGUUGUUCGGAAUUACUGGGCGUAAAGCGCGCGUAGGCGGACCUGCAAGUCGGGGGUGAAAGCCCGAGGCUCAACCUCGGAACUGCCUUUGAUACUGGCGACCUUGAGUUCGGGAGAGGUGAGUGGAACUGCGAGUGUAGAGGUGAAAUUCGUAGAUAUUCGCAAGAACACCAGUGGCGAAGGCGGCUCACUGGCCCGAUACUGACGCUGAGGUGCGAAAGCGUGGGGAGCAAACAGG
Molecule: ribosomal RNA, 253 nt
Filed under: uncultured bacterium
Lineage: Bacteria
Description: partial 16S ribosomal RNA
Rfam family: Bacterial small subunit ribosomal RNA
Source: RNAcentral